CGGAGGGCGUAGCGUUGUUCGGAAUUACUGGGCGUAAAGACGCACGUAGGCGGACUGGAAAGUACAGAGGUGAAAUACCCAGGGCUCAACCUUGGAACUGCCUUUGAAACUAAUCAGUCUGGAGUUCGAGAGAGGUGAGUGGAAUUCCGAGUGUAGAGGUGAAAUCCGUAGAUAUUCGGAGGAACACCAGUGGCGAAGGCGGCUCACUGGCUCGAUACUGACGCUGAGGUGCGAAAGCGUGGGGAGCAAACAGGAUU
Molecule: ribosomal RNA, 257 nt
Filed under: uncultured bacterium
Lineage: Bacteria
Description: partial 16S ribosomal RNA
Rfam family: Bacterial small subunit ribosomal RNA
Source: RNAcentral